Molecule: ribosomal RNA, 448 nt
Filed under: uncultured bacterium
Lineage: Bacteria
Description: bacterial SSU rRNA
Rfam family: Bacterial small subunit ribosomal RNA
Source: RNAcentral
CACUUCGGUGUUUGAGACCGGCGCACGGGUGCGUAACGCGUAUGCAAUCUACCUUGUACAGGGGAAUAGCCCAGAGAAAUUUGGAUUAAUGCCCCAUAGUAUAUAACCUUCGCAUGUUGGUUAUAUUAAAGUUCCAACGGUACAAGAUGAGCAUGCGUCCCAUUAGUUAGUUGGUAAGGUAACGGCUUACCAAGACGAUGAUGGGUAGGGGUCCUGAGAGGGAGAUCCCCCACACUGGUACUGAGACACGGACCAGACUCCUACGGGAGGCAGCAGUGAGGAAUAUUGGUCAAUGGUCGCAAGACUGAACCAGCCAUGCCGCGUGCAGGAAGACGGUCCUAUGGAUUGUAAACUGCUUUUAUACAGGAAGAAACCCUCCCACGUGUGGGAGCUUGACGGUACUGUAGGAAUAAGGAUCGGCUAACUCCGUGCCAGCAGCCGCGGUAAU